UUUUUAACUUAAAAAAAAAAUUAUUUUCAAAAAAAUAGAAAUUAUGCAUGAUUGUGUGAGAAUUUAAUUAAUUUAUUUUUUUAAAUAAUUUAUUCCAAAGGAAGCAGUAACAAAUAGGGUUAAUUGUCAAAAAAGCCAUGAAAUUUGCCAAGUUUUGCAAUUAAACCCUGAAGUUUACAUAAUUGUCAAUUAAACUUUCACGUUUGAUUGAUGUCUCAAAUUGACUUAACCAUCAAUAAACUAUUAGUCCAGUUAAUGAGAGUUUCAUGUUAGCUGUCAUAUCAUUACUGGAGAAGCCAAAUCAAAAAUCCCAAAUUAACCUUAACUUCUCUACUAUAAGAAAUCCCUAAGUAAACAUUUCUUCAAAAUUGAUUUUCUCUCUCUAUGCACUGAUUCAAUUAACAUGCAUGCAAGUUGCUUCUUCUUCUCAAAACUUCUUCUAAUCUACUGAUUCAAUUCUUCAUUCACUGAUUAUAAUGUCUUAAAGUGAAGGUUUAGCCUCACGAAUCCAAAAUCUUUUUCCUUCUUUGUUUUCCUAUUUCUUCCCCUUUCCUCUGUGCUUCCUUCCCUCUUCUAUGUGCAAUCGAGCUCUGCAUCCACAUUUGUUGCUGUAGUCGGAGGAAAAAGGAGGUAAAUAACGAGGAACAGUUGCGACGAUGUGAAGAGGGAUUCUGUGAUUGUGAUCGAUUGGUGGAUGACAAAAAGGAAGUUGGACUUUUGCAGA
RNAcentral lists this unclassified non-coding RNA (724 nucleotides) under Hevea brasiliensis (rubber tree). Lineage: Eukaryota; Viridiplantae; Streptophyta; Magnoliopsida; Malpighiales; Euphorbiaceae. The record is from RNAcentral.